CUUACUUCCUUUUACUACAAUUAUAUAAAUUUAUGAAUCUAAGAUCAUUUUAUUCAUACCAGUGAGAGGACUUGAAGAUUGAUAUCUCAAAUUUUAAAACUCCGAACAAACUUACUCAGCUGAAAAUCUUAAAACUCAAACUUAUCCAACUGAAAACUUCUGAUUCAAGACAUGGAUGUAGAUAAAAUUAUAAGCAAGAUUCAGAAUGGGGACUUUAAAGAUGUGAAACGAUUUAUCAAAAAAAAUCCUGAUCAAGUCAACAACAGAAAUUCAAAAGGUGUUACGGUUCUCAUGGUUGCCUGUGAACAAGGCAAUAAAGAGUUAAUAACCUUAUUGACAGAAUCUGGCGCUGAUCUCAACAUCAGUGACGAAGACAAGAAGUGGACAGCAUUGCAUUAUGCAGUGGAGAAGCACAAAACUGAUGUUGUGGCCUUCUUAGUCUCCAGUGGAGCAAAUGUUAAUAAGCAGGACUCAGGGGGCAACACACCUCUACAUCUGGCUGUGAAGAAGAACUAUGAAGAUGUAGUCAAAGUCCUGUUAAAUAGCAAAGAAAAUAACAAUUUACAGGUUAAUCAGCAAAAUGAAUUGGGCUGGACAGCUCUCCAUUUUGCCUGUCGCUAUGGAAGCAAGGACGUUGUUGAACUUCUCCUGAAACAUAAAGACACGGAUGUUAAAGCUGAGACCAAGCAAGGUUCCACCCCUCUACAACUUGCCUCUGCUCAUCGACACAAGGAAGUUGUUGAUUUUCUCCAGCAACAGAAUGGCAUCAAUGCCAAUAAGGUGGACGAAGAGGGUGACACCCCUCUCCAUCUGGCAGUUCAAAACCACCGAACGGAUUCUGUGGCCUUCUUAGUCUCCAGUGGAGCAAAUGUUAAUAAGCAGGACUCAUGGGGCGACACACCUCUACAUCUGGCUGUGUGGAAUAACUAUGAAGAUGUAGUCAAAGUCCUGUUAAAUAGCAAAGAAAAUAACAAUUUACAGGUUAAUCAGAAAAAUAAUUUUAGUGCAACAGCUCUCCAUGUUGCCUGUCAAUAUGGAAGCAAGGACGUUGUUGAACUUCUCCUGCAACAUAAAGACACGGAUGUUAAGGCUGUGAUGGAAGAUGGUUCGACAGCUCUCCAUCUUGCCUGUCGCUAUGGAAGCAAGGACGUUGUUGAACUUCUCCUGCAACAUAAAGACACGGAUGUUAAAGCUGUGAUGGAAGAUGGUUCGACAGCUCUCCAUCUUGCCUGUCGCUAUGGAAGCAAGGACGUUGUUGAACUUCUCCUGCAACAUAAAGACACGGAUGUUAAGGCUGUGAUGGAAGAUGGUUCGACAGCUCUCCAUCUUGCCUGUCGCUAUAGAAGCAAGGACGUUGUUGAACUUCUCCUGCAACAUAAAGACACGGAUGUUAAUGCUGUGACCAACCAUGGUUACACCCCUCUACAUCUUGCCUCUUCUCAUGGACGCACGGAAGUUGUUGAUUUUCUCCUGAAACAGAAAGGCAUGGAUGUCAAUAAGGUGAACCUCAAGGGUGACACCCCUCUCCAUCUGGCAGUUCAAAAGCACAAAAUUGAUGUUGUGGCCUUCUUAGUCUCCAGUGGAGGAAAUGUUAAUAAGCAGGACUCAGGGGGCAACACACCUCUACAUCUGGCUGUGAAGAAUAAAUAUGAAGAUGUAGUCAAAGUCCUGUUAAAUAGCAAAGAAAAUAACAAUUUACAGGUUAAUCAGCAAAAUGAAUUGGGCUGGACAGCUCUCCAUUUUGCCUGUCGCUAUGGAAGCAAGGACGUUGUUGAACUUCUCCUGCAACAGAAUGGCACGGAUGUUAAAGCUGAGACCAAGCAAGGUUCCACCCCUCUACAACUUGCCUCUGCUCAUCGACACAAGGAAGUUGUUGAUUUUCUCCAGCAACAGAAUGGCAUCAAUGCCAAUAAGGUGGACGAAGAGGGUGACACCCCUCUCCAUCUGGCAGUUCAAAACCACCGAACGGAUUCUGUGGCCUUCUUAGUCUCCAGUGGAGCAAAUGUUAAUAAGCAGGACUCAUGGGGCGACACACCUCUACAUCUGGCUGUGUGGAAUAACUAUGAAGAUGUAGUCAAAGUCCUGUUAAAUAGCAAAGAAAAUAACAAUUUACAGGUUAAUCAGAAAAAUAAUUUUAGUGCAACAGCUCUCCAUGUUGCCUGUCAAUAUGGAAGCAAGGACGUUGUGGAACUUCUCCUGCAACAUAAAGACACGGAUGUUAAGGCUGUGAUGGAAGAUGGUUCGACAGCUCUCCAUCUUGCCUGUCGCUAUGGAAGCAAGGACGUUGUUGAACUUCUCCUGCAACAUAAAGACACGGAUGUUAAGGCUGUGAUGGAAGAUGGUUGGACAGCUCUCCAUCUUGCCUGUCGCUAUGGAAGCAAGGACGUUGUUGAACUUCUCCUGCAACAUAAAGACACGGAUGUUAAGGCUGUGAUGGAAGAUGGUUCGACAGCUCUCCAUCUUGCCUGUCGCUAUAGAAGCAAGGACGUUGUUGAACUUCUCCUGCAACAUAAAGACACGGAUGUUAAGGCUGUGAGGGAACAUGGUUGGACAGCUCUCCAUCUUGCCUGUCGCUAUGGAAGCAAGGAUGUUGUUGAACUUCUCCUGCAACAGAAUGGCACGGAUGUUAAUGCUGUGACCAACCAUGGUUACACCCCUCUACAUCUUGCCUCUUCUCAUGGACGCACGGAAGUUGUUGAUUUUCUCCUGAAACAGAAAGGCAUGGAUGUCAAUAAGGUGAACCUCAAGGGUGACACCCCUCUCCAUCUGGCAGUUCGAAACCACAAAACUGAUGUUGUGGCCUUCUUAGUCUCCAGUGGAGCAAAUGUUAAUAAGCAGGACUCAUUUGGCAACACACCUCUACAUUGGGCUGUGGGGAAUAACUAUGAAGAUGUAGUCAAAGUCCUGUUAAAUAGCAAAGAAAAUAACAAUUUACAGGUUAAUCAGAAAAAUAAAUUGGGUUCGACAGCUCUGCAUGAUGCCUGUCGCUAUGGAAGAAAGGACGUUGUUGAACUUCUCCUGAAACAUAAAGACACGGAUGUUAAUGCUGUGGAGAACAAAGGUUGGACAGCUCUCCAUCUUGCCUGUCGCAAUGGAAGCAAGGACGUUGUUGAACUUCUCCUGCAACAGAAUGGCACGGAUGUUAAAGCUGUGAUGGAAAAUGGUUGGACAGCUCUCCAUGUUGCCUGUCGCUAUGGAAGCAAGGACGUUGUUGAACUUCUCCUGCAAGAUAAAGACACGGAUGUUAAAGCUGUGAAGGAAGAUGGUCAGACAGCUCUCCAUCUUGCCUGUCGCAAUGGAAGCAAGGACGUUGUUGAACUUCUCCUGCAACAGAAUGGCACGGAUGUUAAUGCUGUGACCAAGCAAGGUAACACCCCUCUACAUCUUGCCUCUACUCGUGAACGCACGGAAGUUGUUGAACUUCUCCUGAAACAGAAAGGCAUCGAUAUCAAUAAGGUGAACCUCGAGGGUGACACCCCUCUACAUCUGGCAGUUCGAAAUCAACACUAUGAUGUGGUGGCUUCAAUGCUGGCCCAGGAUUCAGUGAAACUGGAUAUUGAGAACGAUGAUAAAAGAACACCCUUACUGGAAGCCGUGUAUGCAGCCCACAUCGGAAUAGUCCAUGAAAUCAUCACGUGCGGUGCAAAGAUGAAUGCCGUUGACAAGGAUGGCAAUAAUUGUUUGCAUAUUGCAGCAGAGAAAGAGGAAUUUCAUUCUGAGGUGAAACGCAUUCCUAUUUUAGAUGAGUGCUGCAGAGAGCUCCAACUGGACAAGGAUAGGAGGCUCUCUGAAAUAGUAGUUUUGAGUUAUCUUGCCAGCCAUGGAGCCAGCUUAUACCAUCGUAAUGAUGAGAAAGUGACCCCAUUGGACUGCAUAGAAAAUCAACAUUUGAAAGAAAAAUUAAAAACAUUUUUACAAUCACUGUGUUGGUGGUGUCAAGAGAAAAAGGCUACUGUCACACUCCAUCCAUGUCGACAUACUAUUUGUUGUCAGAAUUGCUGUUCUCAAAUGACAUUUAAGCAAUGCCCCAUAUGUCGACAACACAUACGCAGCAUAAGUGGAUUUGUGUGUCCAAAGUCUGAAGAAAAAGCAGUCCAGACGGUUGCAGAAUCUGUUGAAUGUCCAAAGUGUAAAGAAAAAGUAGAAUCUUUGAGUCUGUAAUGGUAGAGGAGAAGCAUCUUCAUAGGGUGUCCCAAAAGUUGGCAGGUAAAUGGCAGCCACUUGGAAGGGAAUUAGGA
Molecule: unclassified non-coding RNA, 4238 nt
Filed under: Octopus sinensis (East Asian common octopus)
Lineage: Eukaryota; Metazoa; Mollusca; Cephalopoda; Octopoda; Octopodidae
Description: serine/threonine-protein phosphatase 6 regulatory ankyrin repeat subunit B-like, transcript variant X42
Source: RNAcentral